RNAcentral lists this ribosomal RNA (479 nucleotides) under uncultured bacterium. RNAcentral's name for it is "SSU rRNA". It matches the Rfam family "Bacterial small subunit ribosomal RNA", at positions 26 to 518 of the family's 1533-position model. The record is from RNAcentral.
AGAAUGAACGUUGGCGGCGUGGAUUAGGCAUGCAAGUCGAACGGAUCCGGUCUUCGGACCGGGUUAGUGGCGCAAGGGUGAGUAAGGCGACGGUAACCAACCCCGAGAUUGGGUAUAGCCGCGGGAAACUGCGGGUAAUCCCCAGCGAUGCGUCGGGCCGGCAUCGGCCUGACGUCAAAGUUUCAACGUCUUGGGACGGGCUGUCGUGGUAUUAGGUAGUUGGCGGGGUAAUGGCCCACCAAGCCUUCGAUGCCUACCGGGCGUGCGAGCGUGGCCCGGCACACUGGGACUGAGACACUGCCCAGACACCUACGGGUGGCUGCAGUCGAGAAUCUUCGGCAAUGGGCGCAAGCCUGACCGAGCGACGCCGCGUGGAGGAUGAAGGCCUUCGGGUUGUAAACUCCUGUCGAGGGGGAGGAAGGGGAAACCUUGACCUAUCCCUGGAGGAAGCGACGGGCUAAGUUCGUGCCAGCAGCCGC